GUUAACCUUAUGAAGAAAAUAGCAUGUUGUUGGCCAGACUAGGCCUUCCAUUGAAAUCAUGAGUCAAAAGAGAAAAUUAUCAAUUUACCCCACAGAGCCAAUUUUUGUAUAACAGUUUUCAUGACCCUACUGUGUGACUGUUUACUGAUGUCCACUUUUCAAUAAACUGCUACCUGAACAGCAAAAACAGUUUAGAACAAAAUAUUGACAAUUGAGGAACAAUCAUACACAGCAUACAGAGUGCAGAAUGGAAGAAGAGACUUCUAGAGAAUCAAAGGCGGUACAGGUUUCCAAGUGGCAGAAUGAUGUGACUUAGAAACAGCAUCAUAUUUCAUAAUGCAGAAUCAGCAGACAUGUAUAGGUGGAAUAGUGAAAUGGUCUGAAUAAUUUUAAUUGCAAACAUGAACACAAUAAAGUCUUCCAGUGGGGAAAAACAAGAUGCUGGAUGAAUAAUGAAUGAAAAUGAAAAACAGGAAAAAAUUAAAUGACAAAAUUAUUUGCAUAUUCCAGGGUUUUAUAACUUGGUCACAUGGUCAAUGGAAAACACAACAGAUCAAAUAUAUAUCCACAUUUGACCACCAUUACAUGUUUCAACAUCAUGGUUAACAAAAAGACGUAAUUAUUCCAGUGAAAUCAACAGUCCAGAAGCAGCCUAGCCCUUCUAAAUGAUCUCUAAACGCUUCCACCAGAGCAAAAUUGUAUAUUUAAACCACAAGACCAGUGCAGUUGAGCUAGUCUGGACCAGAAAUAGCACCGGCGCAUUCACAGUCUAUCUGUGGUCUACACAAAUCAACCCAAAAAAGAAAAAAAAGGAGUGUGUCCUAAAGUACAUCUGCUGCAACACACUGAAUGUAAACAUUUACAGACAUUUACAGCAAUCAACUUGCAUCUGUUUUGGAAAGGCCCUUCUUUAACUACAUUGUGUGAGAGUCACAGGUUUCUGCUUGUUGUUUGGCAGUAAUGUGUCUCAUGAGUGAUAUCUGGCCCACACUAGCUGACAAACUGCCUUUAGAACUUAAGAUCAAGCAGGUUCGGUUUCUUCAAGAAACUGUAUAAAAGGGCAAAUCUCACAAAAAAUGUAUCUACUGUAGGUUAAAAACAUCAUUUAUUAAAAUUAUUGUAAUAUAACUGCAUAUUUUAUUCAAUUAUAUUAAAU
Molecule: long non-coding RNA, 1156 nt
Filed under: Sinocyclocheilus anshuiensis
Lineage: Eukaryota; Metazoa; Chordata; Actinopteri; Cypriniformes; Cyprinidae
Description: lncRNA (ENSSANG00000030508.1)
Source: RNAcentral